GGGUUGUGAGGUUAAGCGACUAAGCGUACACGGUGGAUGCCCUGGCAGUCAGAGGCGAUGAAGGACGUGCUAAUCUGCGAUAAGCGUCGGUAAGGUGAUAUGAACCGUUAUAACCGGCGAUUUCCGAAUGGGGAAACCCAGUGUGAUUCGUCACACUAUCAUUAACUGAAUCCAUAGGUUAAUGAGGCGAACCGGGGGAACUGAAACAUCUAAGUACCCCGAGGAAAAGAAAUCAACCGAGAUUCCCCCAGUAGCGGCGAGCGAACGGGGAGCAGCCCAGAGCCUGAAUCAGUGUGUGUGUUAGUGGAAGCGUCUGGAAAGGCGCGCGAUACAGGGUGACAGCCCCGUACACAAAAAUGCACAUACUGUGAGCUCGAUGAGUAGGGCGGGACACGUGGUAUCCUGUCUGAAUAUGGGGGGACCAUCCUCCAAGGCUAAAUACUCCUGACUGACCGAUAGUGAACCAGUACCGUGAGGGAAAGGCGAAAAGAACCCCGGCGAGGGGAGUGAAAAAGAACCUGAAACCGUGUACGUACAAGCAGUGGGAGCACGCUUAGGCGUGUGACUGCGUACCUUUUGUAUAAUGGGUCAGCGACUUAUAUUCUGUAGCAAGGUUAACCGAAUAGGGGAGCCGAAGGGAAACCGAGUCUUAACUGGGCGUUAAGUUGCAGGGUAUAGACCCGAAACCCGGUGAUCUAGCCAUGGGCAGGUUGAAGGUUGGGUAACACUAACUGGAGGACCGAACCGACUAAUGUUGAAAAAUUAGCGGAUGACUUGUGGCUGGGGGUGAAAGGCCAAUCAAACCGGGAGAUAGCUGGUUCUCCCCGAAAGCUAUUUAGGUAGCGCCUCGUGAAUUCAUCUCCGGGGGUAGAGCACUGUUUCGGCAAGGGGGUCAUCCCGACUUACCAACCCGAUGCAAACUGCGAAUACCGGAGAAUGUUAUCACGGGAGACACACGGCGGGUGCUAACGUCCGUCGUGAAGAGGGAAACAACCCAGACCGCCAGCUAAGGUCCCAAAGUCAUGGUUAAGUGGGAAACGAUGUGGGAAGGCCCAGACAGCCAGGAUGUUGGCUUAGAAGCAGCCAUCAUUUAAAGAAAGCGUAAUAGCUCACUGGUCGAGUCGGCCUGCGCGGAAGAUGUAACGGGGCUAAACCAUGCACCGAAGCUGCGGCAGCGACGCUUAUGCGUUGUUGGGUAGGGGAGCGUUCUGUAAGCCUGCGAAGGUGUGCUGUGAGGCAUGCUGGAGGUAUCAGAAGUGCGAAUGCUGACAUAAGUAACGAUAAAGCGGGUGAAAAGCCCGCUCGCCGGAAGACCAAGGGUUCCUGUCCAACGUUAAUCGGGGCAGGGUGAGUCGACCCCUAAGGCGAGGCCGAAAGGCGUAGUCGAUGGGAAACAGGUUAAUAUUCCUGUACUUGGUGUUACUGCGAAGGGGGGACGGAGAAGGCUAUGUUGGCCGGGCGACGGUUGUCCCGGUUUAAGCGUGUAGGCUGGUUUUCCAGGCAAAUCCGGAAAACUAAGGCUGAGGCGUGAUGACGAGGCACUACGGUGCUGAAGCAACAAAUGCCCUGCUUCCAGGAAAAGCCUCUAAGCAUCAGGUAACAUCAAAUCGUACCCCAAACCGACACAGGUGGUCAGGUAGAGAAUACCAAGGCGCUUGAGAGAACUCGGGUGAAGGAACUAGGCAAAAUGGUGCCGUAACUUCGGGAGAAGGCACGCUGAUAUGUAGGUGAAGCGACUUGCUCGUGGAGCUGAAAUCAGUCGAAGAUACCAGCUGGCUGCAACUGUUUAUUAAAAACACAGCACUGUGCAAACACGAAAGUGGACGUAUACGGUGUGACGCCUGCCCGGUGCCGGAAGGUUAAUUGAUGGGGUCAGCGCAAGCGAAGCUCUUGAUCGAAGCCCCGGUAAACGGCGGCCGUAACUAUAACGGUCCUAAGGUAGCGAAAUUCCUUGUCGGGUAAGUUCCGACCUGCACGAAUGGCGUAAUGAUGGCCAGGCUGUCUCCACCCGAGACUCAGUGAAAUUGAACUCGCUGUGAAGAUGCAGUGUACCCGCGGCAAGACGGAAAGACCCCGUGAACCUUUACUAUAGCUUGACACUGAACAUUGAGCCUUGAUGUGUAGGAUAGGUGGGAGGCUUUGAAGUGUGGACGCCAGUCUGCAUGGAGCCGACCUUGAAAUACCACCCUUUAAUGUUUGAUGUUCUAACGUGGACCCGUGAUCCGGGUUGCGGACAGUGUCUGGUGGGUAGUUUGACUGGGGCGGUCUCCUCCUAAAGAGUAACGGAGGAGCACGAAGGUUGGCUAAUCCUGGUCGGACAUCAGGAGGUUAGUGCAAUGGCAUAAGCCAGCUUGACUGCGAGCGUGACGGCGCGAGCAGGUGCGAAAGCAGGUCAUAGUGAUCCGGUGGUUCUGAAUGGAAGGGCCAUCGCUCAACGGAUAAAAGGUACUCCGGGGAUAACAGGCUGAUACCGCCCAAGAGUUCAUAUCGACGGCGGUGUUUGGCACCUCGAUGUCGGCUCAUCACAUCCUGGGGCUGAAGUAGGUCCCAAGGGUAUGGCUGUUCGCCAUUUAAAGUGGUACGCGAGCUGGGUUUAGAACGUCGUGAGACAGUUCGGUCCCUAUCUGCCGUGGGCGCUGGAGAAUUGAGGGGGGCUGCUCCUAGUACGAGAGGACCGGAGUGGACGCAUCACUGGUGUUCGGGUUGUCAUGCCAAUGGCACUGCCCGGUAGCUAAAUGCGGAAGAGAUAAGUGCUGAAAGCAUCUAAGCACGAAACUUGCCCCGAGAUGAGUUCUCCCUGACUCCUUGAGAGUCCUGAAGGAACGUUGAAGACGACGACGUUGAUAGGCCGGGUGUGUAAGCGCAGCGAUGCGUUGAGCUAACCGGUACUAAUGAACCGUGAGGCUUAACCUUACAACGCCGAAGGUGUUU
This 2931-nucleotide ribosomal RNA is filed under the name Escherichia coli. RNAcentral describes it as "23S ribosomal RNA". It matches the Rfam family "Bacterial large subunit ribosomal RNA". Lineage: Bacteria; Pseudomonadati; Pseudomonadota; Gammaproteobacteria; Enterobacterales; Enterobacteriaceae. The record is from RNAcentral.